This 1275-nucleotide long non-coding RNA is filed under the name Mus musculus (house mouse). RNAcentral's name for it is "long non-coding RNA chr5:97644161-97645436". Lineage: Eukaryota; Metazoa; Chordata; Mammalia; Rodentia; Muridae. The record is from RNAcentral.
AUAGGUGUUGGCUUCAGUCACUUUAGGACAUACAUUCUGGAGGGGCAUUAGGAACAAAUACACAGAUACUAACUUUCUGCAACAAAAUGGAAUGCUUUAAAAUCAUUGCCUAGCAAAUUGAUCUUCCCUUUUUAAAGUGGUUGUGUUUCAGGAGGUGUGAAUGUUUAAGUAAUGAUAAAACAUUUUCAAUAAGGUGAGGAAGAAUGUUGGUUACUUGGUGAAUGUAAACAGAACUGAAUGAGGAAGCUCUGGAUAAAUACAUUUCCAAUAACGAUUUAUUUACAUGAAUUUCUAUUCAGGAAGCAAAGUUUAAAUCCCGAAUCAUAUAAACUAUUCCCUAUAUUCAGAAAAUAUAGGAAGCAACUUGAAGCUCAUUUUAUUCAUUUCUUGAAAAAGGAUUUUUGAAAUACAGGUAUACCUGGCCACAGGAAAUCCAGACACAUGCAAAAUCAGAUUUACACAUAGGAUAAAUUAUUUUAAGGGUUCUCUGAACACCAAUGGCUUCAUCCAUCAACUUGAAGCUGCUUCUGCAAAUGUGCACACACUUCCUGAAAAGAUUUAUAAUCCAGCCAAUACGGUACAUUUUGAAUGUGUUACAGAAAGGACAGAUUUACAGGAGACAAUCUGCCUUCAUGACGAUUGCAUAUUGUGGCAUUUCUAGUCCAUAUGGAUCAGUAAGAGUUGGAUAGCAGGCAUUUGACCUUCAAAAUCAUGCAAAUGUGAAACCAGACUUCUCCUCUUACAGCUGCAAGCGUCAGUAGGACUUCUUCAGCUUCUUCUGGGGGAACUGAUUAAAACACAGUUUGACUACAGAGGCGUCCUGAGGUUUGACUACUCCUGUGCUUCUCCUCAGAGAGAAAGGUCUCCCUCUUUGCUCCCUUCCCACACAUCCCCUCUGGCUAACCUUCGCUCAUUAGCACCCAAAUCUCAGCUACUGAUCAUUUAAGAGAGAACUUGCUAACUCCUAGCCACAGGCUAGCUCUGAACAAGACAUCAACCCUUUUUGUUCCCGUCACAGUUAAUCUCCAGGAAUAAGUUCUGAUAGCCUUUGAAAAGGUCUGAACGUAGUUUUCUGUCACAGGCCCUUGGAAGCUAUGCUUUCUCACUUCCAAACCUUGAUAGUGCCAGAGAGAAUCAGACUGUUUAUCUAGCAAUGAUAAUUUUCUGGGUUUAUAGUGUAACAAUUCGCCAAGAUUAUUGGAACAGAAUCACAAGAAGUUAUAUUUGUUAAUCGGCCAACUUUUUUUUUUCCAUUUAAAAAUUCAUUGCAAAAUG